This 281-nucleotide long non-coding RNA is filed under the name Theobroma cacao (cacao). RNAcentral describes it as "long non-coding RNA (TCAC_LNC003314)". The record is from RNAcentral. Lineage: Eukaryota; Viridiplantae; Streptophyta; Magnoliopsida; Malvales; Malvaceae.
UUUCACAUUUCAUAUAAAUAUUCACAUGUAAAUAAAACAAUUGUGCUUUAGCACGUACCCCGUGCCUAUUUUGCUAUAGACAUCCACCGUAGUCUUAUCAUUUUAUGCACCCAUAUCCAAGGCUCAACAUAACAUGUAGAAACGUAAACAAGUUUAUUGACAUUAUUUACAUAACAGAGUUCAUUAUCAACAUGACAAUUCAAAACUAGACUAGACACAUUGUAAAGUGUACAACAUUGGAAGGCUGAAAAAAAGGCUCUACCACACCUACCUCGAAUGAG